AUGCCCCCGUGUGCCGCCCACACGCACCGCACCCGUCUCGGUGUGGUCAUUCUCUGCCAUGGCGUUUCCUCCAUCUCCUCUCUAAACCGGGGCACCGCCUCUUCCAGCAUGGCGAUGAAUACCUUGAGCCCACGCCGGCCCCGCUGCUCUCCUCCUCCUCCUGCAGCCUCUUCCUCUGCAGCAGCAAAGAGGGAGAUUCCUCCUCUGUCCAGACUGUCCACACUCUCCGGAGGCCCCCCCAGAAAAAUCUAUCUGAAAGAGACUCUUGAGUGUCACCUAACUAAACAGCUCCUUAAACGACGCCGCCUUCACAUGUCACAACACCCCCGCAUAAAUCCUUGA
RNAcentral lists this ribosomal RNA (342 nucleotides) under Triticum aestivum (bread wheat). Its description in RNAcentral is "partial small subunit ribosomal RNA". The record is from RNAcentral. Lineage: Eukaryota; Viridiplantae; Streptophyta; Magnoliopsida; Poales; Poaceae.